UCUCAAUGAUGACUUGCCAUGCUAAUACCGAGAAAGUUUCAGAUUUUCGCUGAGUUCAAUGUGCUUUUCUGAUUAUACAACUUGUAAUUAAAGGUCCACAUUUAC
Cydia strobilella is the source of this 105-nucleotide small nucleolar RNA. The record is from RefSeq and is a predicted model, not a curated record. Lineage: Eukaryota; Metazoa; Arthropoda; Insecta; Lepidoptera; Tortricidae.